Molecule: transfer RNA, 74 nt
Filed under: Gemmatimonadota bacterium
Lineage: Bacteria; Pseudomonadati; Gemmatimonadota
Also listed under: 1 other name
Description: Gemmatimonadetes bacterium tRNA-Pro
Rfam family: tRNA
About the family: Transfer RNA (tRNA) molecules are approximately 80 nucleotides in length. Their secondary structure includes four short double-helical elements and three loops (D, anti-codon, and T loops). Further hydrogen bonds mediate the characteristic L-shaped molecular structure. tRNAs have two regions of fundamental functional importance: the anti-codon, which is responsible for specific mRNA codon recognition, and the 3' end, to which the tRNAs corresponding amino acid is attached (by aminoacyl-tRNA synthetases). tRNAs cope with the degeneracy of the genetic code in two manners: having more than one tRNA (with a specific anti-codon) for a particular amino acid; and 'wobble' base-pairing, i.e. permitting non-standard base-pairing at the 3rd anti-codon position.
Source: RNAcentral
CGGGGCGUGGCGCAGUCCGGCAGCGUGCCUGCUUUGGGAGCAGGAGGUCCCGGGUUCAAAUCCCGGCGCCCCGA